Molecule: ribosomal RNA, 247 nt
Filed under: uncultured bacterium
Lineage: Bacteria
Description: partial 16S ribosomal RNA
Rfam family: Bacterial small subunit ribosomal RNA
Source: RNAcentral
AUACGGAAGGUGCAAGCGUUAAUCGGAAUCACUGGGCGCAAAGCGCUCGUAGGUGGCUUUGUAAGUCAGGUGUGAAAGCCCACGGCUCAACCGUGGAAUUGCACUUGAUACUGCAUUGCUUGAGUUCGGGAGAGGGUAGUGGAAUUCCAGGUGUAGGAGUGAAAUCCGUAGAGAUCUGGAGGAACACCAGUGGCGAAGGCGACUUUCUGGUCUGUAACUGACACUGAGGCGCGAAAGCGUGGGGAGC